Molecule: small RNA, 28 nt
Filed under: Bombyx mori (domestic silkworm)
Lineage: Eukaryota; Metazoa; Arthropoda; Insecta; Lepidoptera; Bombycidae
Description: ovarian small RNA-36049
Source: RNAcentral
UGUUAUAUAGCGUAUAGCCUUCCUCAGU